GUUUAGACCGUCGUGAGACAGGUUAGUUUUACCCUACUGACGACCAUAGAAGAAAUGUUAUUGCGAUAGUAAUCCUGCGAAGUACGAGAGGAACCGCAGGUUCGGACAGUUGGUUGGCGCACUUGGUCGAGCGGCCAGUGGUGCGAGGCUACGUCCGGAUGAUUAUACCUGAAGGCCUCUGAAGGUAGAAUCGAUGCUGGAGGAAGGCAAUGAUACGCAGCGUCUUUUGACUCGUUUCGACGUUUUAUCUGGGUGGCUAUAACGAGACCCGUCUCGGUUAGAGAUUAAAACUCGCUCCAUCAGCGAGGGGGUUCCGGCCUUUUCGUUUCGUUUCGGACGAAUGCCUGGUCGGCGCUUCAUUCUCGAGCCGCGGUUUUCAGAGGGGAGGUUCGCUGACGGCUAUGCUGGGUAUCCGCUACGGGAAUGCCAGUCAUGCUCCGGUUCGCCUCUUUCUUUUUACCCGACUAAAGU
Molecule: ribosomal RNA, 471 nt
Filed under: Daphnia pulex (common water flea)
Lineage: Eukaryota; Metazoa; Arthropoda; Branchiopoda; Diplostraca; Daphniidae
Description: eukaryotic LSU rRNA
Rfam family: Eukaryotic large subunit ribosomal RNA (bases 1-223)
Source: RNAcentral